Molecule: long non-coding RNA, 26928 nt
Filed under: Linum usitatissimum (flax)
Lineage: Eukaryota; Viridiplantae; Streptophyta; Magnoliopsida; Malpighiales; Linaceae
Description: long non-coding RNA (LUSI_LNC006372)
Source: RNAcentral
CCAAUAUGAUUAAGAAUAUAGAUGUACAAAUAAAAUAACCAACCGACAACCCGAUUAGUUAUCAUCUGAAGAAUAUGUGGAUUUUCGAGGGAGGGAAUAUGCGAAUGGGCUUCGGCUUCAUCUUCCUCUUCUACUUCGUCUGGAAGGUUUGGGUAAAUGGUUGACUCCUAGCUUGGAAAUUUGCUCCGGAUGCAAUCUCUACCGGAGUUUGAAUAAAAGAGAACGUUCCUAAAUCAUUCUAAUUUUCUCAGUCGUUCAAGCCCAGCUAGUAUCCAACUACAACGGGCCACGAAGCCCAUUUCAGCCGGAGAACAAAACCACCUUCCUCCAGUUUCAAUUCUCAAUUCUGUCCAGUCUUUCUCUGCAUAUUUACAGUUGCGCACUUGCGAUUUUCAGCUCUACUGAUAAUGGUGCUUUCCAAUUUCAAUGGCGUUGGUGUCGGAUUCGGUGAGCUGGCUGGUUCUCUACGCCUUCUGAAUGUUUUCUCUGCUACUGCUUUCCUUUUUCUUUCUCGCUUGUUAAUUGCAAGUUUAUGUUUCCCGUCCUCAGGUUUUGGAGUUGGAUGUGGCUUUGGCGUUGGAUGGGGUUUUGGGGGUUAGUUUUCCUAUCCUUCAAACCAUUUUUAAUUCCCCCUUCCUUUGAAGCUCUUGCGUUUGGGGGAAAAUCUAUGUGAUUAAGGAAUAAGUUGAUUCUCUCUUGCUGCUGUAAUCAAUUGAUGGUUUGGUGACGAGACUUUGUUCAUGAUUUUUGGUUUGUGCUGUUUGGACAUUACACUUACAUCCCAACGGCCGGUUACUUUCGUGACAGUCGAAAGCUGACUACCUUUGCAUCGAUCAUAUCAGUAGUUCUCACAACUUCAUCAAUUCUGUAGGUGCUAAUUUCCACACACACAAAAAAACUCCUUGAAUAGAGUUCUAUGGAAGGUGAUAUGAUUUCUAUACCCACUGUCGAUUAAUCACGAUUCUGCGGGGAAUUUUGAAGAGAAACAGCUACCCACAAAUAGAUAAUCUUCUUCUUGUUCUGCUUCUUGAUCAGUAACAUGGGCUUCUUCAUUUUGGUUUCUAAAAUUAGUUUCUACAAAUUACAGCUUCAUGUCCAAGCUCCUUGCAUCUUUUGCACUUUGCAUCAGGCCUCUUCCAAUACCUAAAUGCAGGAUGACCUAGUUUACCACAAUGUUUACGAGGAGGAUAAGUUUUCCUUAAGUUCCCACCUUUGUUUUGAUUGUGGCUGCUGCUUGAACCAAUUCCAGAACUUGAGUCUUCAGCAAUAUUCCUCUGAGUAUGUUGAUGCUUAACAAACAGAUCUCCUUCAGUGGCAGACUCUCUGCUCUUGAGCAUGUAAAGCAUUCGAUAAUUGUCUUGCUGCUGUAAUCAAUUGAUGGUUUGGUGACGAUUUCCUAGGCCACUUUCUUCAUGAUUUUGGUUUGUGCUGUUUGGACAUUAUACUGCAUCCUCAACUGCCAAUUACAGUCGAAAGUUAGUUACCUGUGUAUCGAUCAUUUCAGUAGUUGUCAACAACUUCCAAAGCGAGAGUGGAGAAAUAUAGUAUCGCUACUUUUGUGCUUAUCAUUGCGAUAGGAGCCACUGAUAUUGACAGUAAUUUCAACCAGCUACAGGAACUUUGACUUAAGAUAUAUUGGCUUGCUGAUGCGUAGUCAACUAGUCAUCCUUGAACUAUAGUCUAUGAACUCAGAAGUGUGUAGUGAUAUUGCUAAAAUAAAGCUUUCGGUUUGAGGCAGCUUCUACUUUUAUGGUGCUUUGCAAUUUUUGGGGUUUGCCUACAUAUCAGAUACCGUUUGAUGAGCAUUUUCUUCAUCUUUGUUUGCAGGCAUGCCACUGAAUAUGUUGGGCCUUGGUGCAGGUAAAUGAACUCCAAAAAUCUCUGUUUUUUUCCUGUUGUUGCUUGUUCUGAACAAAACAGCCUAUGGUCAAUCGGUACUUGUUGUAUGACUCUCAGCCGUGAUGGUGAAACAGGGGGAGGGUGCGGAGUUGGUCUAGGACUCGGAUGGGGGUUCGGCAGUGCUUUUGGUAGUCACUACAGAUCAUCUAGACUCAAUUUCCAAGGUGAAGAAUUUGAGAAAGAAAGACGAAGCUGGUAACAGCAGCAAGAACAGCAACAGUAAUACCAUAGGCAACAUGAAACACACACGAGAGGUUAGAGCCAACCAGUAGCGGUUUCAUAUUAUUGUAACACUUUACUUUGGACAUGGAAGCCAAUUAUAGAACACUAGUAGCAUGGUCUAAUAUUGUGUCAUAUUCCAGAUGUUCACUUGAAAUCUUGAUGAAAGCCACGCUGCUUUAUCUAUCAUUUUUAUAGAAAACAUUGUUUACAACAGGAUCAAUUUUAUUUAGAAACUGAAGAUCAAAGGAAACGAAACAGAGACUUGAUUCAAGAUCCCAAAGGAACAGGAUCGUACAGAAGACAACAACAACAACAACAAACAGUUCUAAAGAGGCACACUCAGCAUCUGCAAGUUUCAAGGGACAAUCUUGUAACCCUUCACCCUAUCAAUCCAGGAAAUGAAAGAGUUCUUGGAAUUCCUAAACCCCAAAAACCCAUGCUCUUUGCUCUUGUUCAUGCUCGACAGUACAGCCUCCAAAGAAAACAAAACAUCCACAAACCACCAAUUACCAACAUCCUCCAACCUCGUAGGUUCCAGCUGAUUCUGCUUCACAAUCUCUUCCCAAACUGGCCCUUUAUCCUUCAUCAUCUCCUUCAAGCUUAACCUCUUCUCUACAUCCUCCUCAAACCCGUAAUUCUCUAUCCCAAACUGUUCAGCCAAAACUUUCCACAAAUGCUUCCACUUGAACACAUCUGCAUUCACAAUGUUGAAAGCCUCAUUCUUUGCGUAAGGAUCCACGGAAGCCCAUAUCUGAUGCUCAGCAAUCAGAUCAGCAUCGGAAGAAUUGGCGUAACAGUUCCAAGCAUCUUUGGUCCCUGGGAAAAUCAGAGGCAAACCCUCGUGUUUACAUAUCGCGGCGUAAACACAGAGAGUACCAAUCAUGUUCAUCAUACUGUAGGGAGAAAACCCCCAAAUCUGAUCGGGGCGGUGUACGGACCACGUCAAUCCUUCCUUCUUGUCGGCUUCUUCGUACAGGAUGUCCUCCAAAGUGUGGUAGAAAUUGGGCACAUCCAAUCUGGGCAAAUCCUCAGUGAAAGGUGGUUCGUGGGGCUGGAUCUUCCCAAGGGAUUCGAAUGGUCCGACGUAGUGCUUUGCUCCGGUCUGAAGACAGAUGUGCUGGAGGUUGGGGGAGUUCGGGACGACGGCGUCUAGGAGGUUCCGGAACAUUCGGCCGUUAACCUCGCAAUUCUCGGCCUCGGUGGGGCGGCUGCUCCAGGUCACGUAGAAGAUGUGGGUGACGUCAGUGAGCUGAGAGAGCUUUGAUUCGGUGUCGUUUGGGUCGGAGAUGUCGCACUGGAUGUACUCGAUCGGAUGAUCGGCGUUCCAAUUGGGGCGGGGGCGACGAGCGACGCCGUAUACCUUCCAUGGGCCGCCUGGAGUGUCGGGGUGGGCGAGGGAUNNNNNNNNNNNNNNNNNNNNNNNNNNNACGGCUAGGCUGUUGCCUACGAUUCCGGUGACGCCCACCACCAGGGCGACGCUCUGGUAGCUACGGGGAGCCUCGUCUUCGUCGAGCUUCUUCUGCAAUACAAAUUCAUUGAAGACCCAGUUCAAUUAUAUGAAAAAGAUGAUGAUGAGUGGGGGGGAUUCUGUAGAGUUUACCUUAGCAGCUCCAAUGGCGCCAGCCCACCACCAGCUCAUCUUUGUCUUCUAACUUGGGAUUGAAUUACUGGAGAAAGAUCUUGAGUCAGAAGUUUAGAGAAAGCUUUAAAGCCUGAAGGAGUAGGGAGAUAAGGAGGAGGAGGAGAGUUGUGUUUUUUUACGAUCUCAUCUGGAACGGAUGUGCAGGUAACAAACACGUACCUUUUGGUCAGAAUGGUCAACAACUAGGAUGGGAGACAGAUACAAUAAACCUGGUGGGACCAGCGACUUCUAGAUGGCAUGCCAGAUUGGCGGCACCUGCAACUCCGGUUCCCUUCCGUUCUUGAGGACGUUUUGUUGGGGGGAUGGCGUGUAACUGGCCUUCCCGUCGUGGAUUGCAUGCAUGGGUUAUUACUAUUCUCAUUAGCUAUGGGCUUCGGCCCACUACAACUAUUGGUAGUUAUACUAUUGGGCUUCGGCUAGUACUAUUAUUAUGAAUCAUGUUAGCAUUGGGAUUAGUAUGUUAUAGGAAAUUAGGAAGAGAACUAUAAGUAGCUCGAGAAUCGCUAAUAAAGGGGCUUAGAGCCGUUGACGAGCCAAAUGGAGCUGUGGUUUGCUUAGAGUUGUUUGAAAUAGCCGUUCGAGUUUGGAUCGAUUUGAGUUUGCAAAUCUUACUGAGUUCGAGUUUGGUUCGUUUGUAACUUUUACCAAUUCAAGUUUAAUUUGGAUAAACUCAUAAAACAUUAUAAUAUUCUAAAUGAACACGACUCAUAUAAUCCAAAUAAUCAUUGAAAUAACAUUAUUCAUCACCAUAUUUUUACUUUUUAAUAUAAAAUGAAAACAUUCAAACCGUAAAACAAAUUCACAACCAACACUAAUUUUUAUCUCCACGUCUUUUAUUUUAUCAAUAAUUUCUAUCUCUAAGUCUACCCUCUCUCUCCUUCUUCCAAUAAUAUCUUCCGACUGAUCUACAUUCUUUACUGCCAUGACUUCAAUUUCUCAUUCUUGAUCAUUCCCACCAAACACCAUUCCUCGCUACACAACCAUAUACGCAAAACUAUGGCGACCAAACGUGAAGGAACCAAAGAAUUUCCUUAAGAGUCAAUGAGUCAUAGACUUGGGCAACAACUUGAGCCCGUAGUCACAUGCUCAAAAUCAACACGUGAAAAAUUUGAGUCUUGGACCAUGAGAUUUACGAAAACCCUAUAGGAUAUUAAAAUUUGACCUAAUUCAUUUCGUAUUUUGAAUUUUACUUAUUACAUGUACCCAACCUCGUAUAGGUUCGAGCUUGUCUUAUUAGUUCUUUUUUCCUCAUUGUUGCAUUGCUAGAUGAUUUGUUUGCAAUGACACUAACAUGUACUAAUACUAAAAAUGGUUUUACUUAAGCCGGAGUGUUAACCCACCAAACCUAGGCAAUAGUAGCUCACCAUUAAUUCCUGCUAAAAGAUACCACUGAAAGAAAACGCGCCUUAUAUUUUUGACUUUGCUAACUUACCUAUAGUCUAAAAAAUGACCAAACUCCGGGUGUACACCAGUUCUUAAUCAUUUAAAGAAAUAAUAUGGGGAAACGAUAUCUCAAUUAUGUUUCCACGAAUACAAUUGAUAAUCUUAACAAAUAGGUGAAUAUCAAAAUUAUAAAGAAAAAAGAGAAUAUCCAUACGAUUGCCUUCACAAAAAAUAUACAAAAUACCACAUUUCAAUCUCUGUCAAUAAAAUAUUUAGUUUCGAGAAUACAAAAUAAAUUGACGAAAAUCAUCAGAAAACUCCCCAAGCACUAUAUCUAACAUAGCACGCUACAAAUCAAGGUGUAAAUUAAUUUUAUGGUAUCCUCGAUCCCAAGCUAACCUCAACCAAAAAUUGCUCCGUGCAGUUCGGCCCCAGUAAUUGUAAACUUGUUUAAUAAAGAGUGGCAUUCUUUUCCACCACAUGCUUCCGCAUGCACUAACUAGUUAACGCUAACAGCCAAAACAUCAAAAUAUCACCUGACAUGACGCAACCAUUCCCAGCAUGCAUCAGCUUUUUUCACAGUGAGAUUGAACUGAUGAAGCCUUCGUUUUCUUCUUCUUCUUCUUUGCGUUUAUUGGCCGUCUCAGCUUUCCCCUGCUCCCUUCCUUCCCCAUGAAAUCCUCCAAUGGCUCUUCCACUAUAGUCGAUAACCCUUCAUUCACAUGUCCUGCCCAACACAGACAACGACAAAAGUAAAAAACCAAACAGUUCAUCAGUGUUUCACUUUCCCAUCGACAUGUUUUUCAUGCAUAAGCCAAAAAGAAAAAACACAGUCUGAAAUACCUGAAAUAAUGUCAUCAAUACCCUUUUUUGCCAUCACCAUUCUCAUUAUCAAUCCUUCCAAAUCUUUCAUAUCCUUACUGCUGCUGCUGAUAAUGCUGCUGUACUCUUCCUCCUUUCCAUUACCAAUCCCAUCAUCCUUUUCCAGUUCAGUUUUGGCAGCAGCAUCAGCAAACAGCCACGUGGCAUCCAUCUGCUUGCUCAUCAAACGCACUGCAUUAUAUGGAACUCUGCUUUUUUCAUUGAUACAAUUGUUAAUGAACAUUAAGCAGUCCAUCAAGCUCUCCUUAACCAUCCCUUUCAUGUCAUACCCUUGUGACCUUCUCCACAGGCUCUUCCCGUGCGAGUUACCCCGACUCGACAACGAAAGGGCUCGAGUCGAGUCGCUGAUCGCCCCGUCCGAAUCGCCAGCAACCAAACUACACUGAGCUCUGUUGCUGUACACAACCAUCCUCUCUUUUCUAAACCUUAAUGGACAAAUCUCAAGUGCUUCGCUAUAUUUCACAAACGCUUCCUCAAUCACUCCAGCCCGAAACAUGUGGUUUCCUUGUUGCUUUAUCAACAUAGCCAAUACCUUUCUUUCCUCGACUCUCUCUUCCGACAUCGCUCUCUCCUUUCUCCUUCUAUCCACCUUCAAGCUCCAUACUUGUCGCAAAUCCUGAAGAACUCCCACAUUCGCAUUAUUACCCUUUAGCUUCACUUUCUGCAGUUUGUAGUCUAGAAGGAGAGCUUCUGUGAUUGUUCGACCCACGUUUGAUCUAUGUUCACCGAUGUUUUUAAGUUCGACCAAAUCGAUAAGAAUGGAAGAGGCCAGUUCCAGAACUCUGUACCUAGUUUCUUGGUCUUUGAGAAGUAACAGAAGACAAUCAAUCCCCAUGUACUGCCAAUCAUCCGACGAUCUCGAGAUGUUGCAGAUGUUUUGUAUGACUUGUUUGGAUUGAGAAAUCUUUUUCCUACCAGGUUUAUGGUAACAUAAGAUUCUAAUCAGUCCUAUACCAGCUGGAGAUGAGUGAUUCACUACUCCCCCCCACAUACUACUUAAACUCUCUAGAAAACCAACCUGGCUACAGAUGAGGCUAAUAGUUAUGGACCGCCCUUUCGAAGCGAAGCAAUUCAAUAGAUGAAGCGACCAACACUGUAGUUGGCUGGCCCACUCUUCAGCUUUUGAUCUUGUCAGCAAAUCACAGUGAUACUUCAAUCUCUUGGUCUUGUCCUUCACUCUGAUGAAGUCACGGUGCACCAGAUGAAUUCCAGUGGAAGCCAACUCCAUCGCUACCUUAACCACCUCUUCUUCGAACACAGCUACAGCUUUGAAAGUUGGAUCGUAGCUGGCGAGAUGUCCAAGUGCUCUAACGGCUACUCUUUGUUCAACCCAGCUGAUCUUGCCUCUAAAGAGCUCCAUAAGUGGAGGGAUCACACCCGAUUCAACAGCCAGUUGUGCGUACUCGACCUUGUUCAUGGUGUAAGAACCAAUGACAUGAGCUGCAUAGUAAGGGAUGCACAUGCUCUGCUCAUGAUUUAUAAGCCAAUGAUGAUCACUGGUGUGUUUAUGAACACUUUGGCGAAUCAGAGUGGCCAUGCAGCUGAAGAGGCCUAGUGAUGGCAACUCUGAAUCAUCCGGCUGGUUCAUGGCGAUGCUCCACAGACCAUUCAAGAUACGAACAUUGUCGUGGCUGUCGCUCAGUGUCAUCUCCUUCAAACAACUUGCUAAGCUUUUUCUCCUGGACAAUGAGGACUUGGACUGUCUCAUGGUGCAGAAAAAGCAGCAACAAGUUUGCUGUUCCUGAUCCAUACGGGCUUUCGGAAGAAUGGUAUAUGUGUUUUGAGUGUUGUGUAGAUGAAGAGAAGUGUAUAGUUUGGGAAGGGGACUUGAGUAGUUGAGCUUAGGGUUUCUUUCUUCAUAUGGCUGUAGCUAGUAGUUUCAUAGAUAAAUAAGCUCAGGGCAAGUAAGUGGGGGAGUGGACUAAAAAGGUGCCAUGAUCUAGCAAUUUAAGGCUUCUCUUUUGAACUAGUUUAAUAUUUUUUUAUAAGCUUAUGCUCCUGUUUGUCUACAAGAGUUAAAUUUGAUUUUAAAAGUAGUUUUUGGGUUUACAUGAAGAAUGUCAAUUAUUUAGGCUUGGCAGUUGUAAUUUGAAAAUCAGUAUUUAUUUAAAAUUUGUCUAAUUUGGGUAGGUAAAAACUCGAUUAAUAUGAGUAAUUGAUAUUCAUGGGUGAACUCGAUACUUGUUUAAAACGGUAACGGACAGCGAUGGAUUUGAUAAUAUCCGUCUGAUGGUACGCACCAUAUAUAAACCAAAGCCUAUUGAUAGUUUACUAAAACCCUACCCUCUUAUUUUUCUAUUUUUAUUAUUUUAACUAUAUAGUUCACUAUUUAAUUUAUAUUGGAGUUAUUUCAUUGUUAUUGAAUAUGUCCUUUUUCUUACCAAUAUGAGUUAUUAUAUUUCGACAAUUCUACAAUCUAAAAAUUGAAAAGAAACUCAUUAUAUCUAUUGAAUGAGUAAUUUAUUUUAGUAGGUAGGGAUUACCGACUAAAAAUGUUAAUUCAAAACCUACAAACUAAUAAACACAAUAUACAUAAAUAAAACCCGAUAACUAAACAAACGAAUAAUGAAUAUGCCAAACCCAUCUCAUACCCACCAAUUGGCCUCCGUAUUAAUCAUUUCAUCUAAUUGAGCAACUUUGAACACAGUCAAAUAACAGGGUAGAACAGUCAUUCUCAUGCCUAGAGGCAUGCCAAAUAAAGAAACAAACUAGCUAGAUGAAAACAUAAAAACAUUCUAAAAGUUGCAUCCAUAUUUUAACUUGGUCAGUGAAACUGAAAUGUGUAGCCAAUAGUUGUAAGCAGGUAAGUAUCAAGAAUUCAAACAAAAAAGCUAAGGCUUUGUCCAUGAUUUCCAGGUGCUUCCCACAUUGAAAAAGGCAGAGUGGUCCUUAGCUCUAAUUAGGGCUUAUCAACCCCCCUCCUCGCCUAACCACUUCAGUUCCAGUCCACACCUUUAAUUUCUUCUAUUUUUACUGCACUUUCUUUGUCUAUAUCCCACUUUACAAGGGAUGUUUUGUCUUACUAUGCUGCAAUUCUCGGGAUCAUGUAAGCAAAUAACCAAUUCUUGUAAAAUCUCCUAGGUAAGACAUCCAGAAUACAUCACAACUUGUUGAACUCUGUGUUCCUAGUUUGUUUGUAAAUGACCCAUCAGAACUUCCAGCAAAUGACCCAUGAACAAAAGGGAACUUGGAUCAACCCCAUGCAGAUGUUGUUGAAAAUGCAAAGGUCAACUGGUUCGGUUGGACUCAGCUGAAAAGUCUCUGAUUCUCUCUUUAGAAUCAGUCCACCAAUCGAAGGUUGGGAGAGUAGGGGUGAGGGCCUGAUUUUUAUGGGGAUUUUAGCGUGAGAGCUGACGAACAAACAACUUAAAGAGAGCUUGCAGUCUCAGCAAAAUACAUAUAUUAAUUCAAUUGAACUUCUCUACUCUCUUGGGGAGUUCCCCUCUAGAUAUAAGAGAUUAUAGAUGGGAGAUAGCUUCAAAGGCAAUGGACUAUAAGUCCACGAUCGCGGAUAACUUGUUAUUCUCGGUUUAUGUUCUUAGCUCGUUUACUGUUCUGGUUUUCAUUCCACUUGAUUUGUAUUCGAUCAAUAUUCCUAAUAGACAUGUCAUUAAGCAAAACACUAAUCAACCAGCUGUUAAGGAAAGGUGCUAUAACACCAGGGAUUCAAUACCAUACCAGGCAUAUAUAUCCAAAGGAGUUGGUCAAGUGGCAAGUGAAACACUACAUAUACUAGUUUGGGAUGAAUAAUAUUGAUAUGUUGCUAUCCAUAUAUGAUGUUUCCUAGAAAGCUGAGUGGAAUUCCUGAUGCUGAGACUAUGGAUGCCAGAUAGAUACACAAUUUAAAGCUGCGGAAUAGCCAGACCUUAACCUGCACUGUAGAGUCUUAGCCUGUAAUGUGCUGAUUCUUCCACUUCUCCAACUGGAAAAGUUUUUGAAAAAGCAAAAAAGAAAAGAGCAAGGAAGGAAGGACCACAGCUUGAAAACGGGGCAUUGUCCCCUUCAAAAACCCAGUUACAGGAAGUGGUCCCUGCCUAAUAUUCUUAACUCAGUCAGAGCAGAGCAGCAUCCUCCAACGCUGAAUAUUUCAAGAAUCAUAUAUAGGGGACUUUGGUGAUGAUCACUACUAGCUAGCAACAAAAUCUAAGAACAUGCAUGCGUAGAAAUAAAAGGAUUAACAAAACCAGUUUGGAAGUACAAACCAUUGAAGGUCUCGAGAAUAUGCGGCUGCUAUAUAUAUUAGAUUAAUGCAACUAGAGCCAGAAAAGAAAAGCCUAUGAAACUUCCUUCGUUUCUGGAAGUGGUCGACGGCGGCGCCUAUAUAUUUGGGCCCAUAUCCGCCCGAUGAUUAUUGUAAGGUGUAUGAAUCCUCCUUGGUCCACCAUAUAUGGGCCCAUAUCCGCCCGAAAACAAUGGGUCCAGACGUCUCCAUCCCUGCAAGGGAGGGCCCAAAUUUCUAUUAAUCCCCCUUGCUCCAUCUCUUUCUCUUGUCUCUAUGUUCUGUACUGUAGUGUGUUUCACUUUCAACUAAGAUUCGACAAGCAGCAGACAGUAACAUGUCAUGGCGGAAAACAUUGAUUGCUUAGCUUUUGCCUUUGCCCAUCAUUCAGUCACUCCAACCGUAACUGCAUUACUUGUUCUCAUUCAUAUUAUUGGAAGGAAAAGGAAGGAUCCCAUCCUCCUCUACCCGUCAUUUUCUUCCUCCUCACAUUGCGUUUCAUGUUUCAGCCGACCAGUCCGUGUACCGCCACAGUCUGAUCUUGUCUUGUAAUGGAGAUAAUGAUACAAGAAAAGUGAUCUAGAACCUGGAAUUGGAACAUGUAUGUAAAUGAUGAUGACUAUAGCUCUCUAGUCUAUUUACAAAUUCAAAAGGAUACUUUGAUCCAGUGCUACAUCUUUCCAAUCAUAUCAGUUUUGGGCGUAGUGAUGUCGACAGAUUAGCAAGUGUAAGAUGAAUAAUUGCACCCCCUUCCUACAUUCUACGCGUGAACCAGCCAACACCAUCAUCCUAUGGGAAAAAAGCCCCUUGCAUCAUUCCUUUUUCACCUGUCGGAGUGUUGCUACUGCAUGCCCUCUCUUCGUCCCUUUCCCUGGUUCUCCCUUGUCCACCUGACGUUGUUGGUAGCCUUACCUUCUUGAGUUCUAUCUCUCUCUAAUGGAGCAACUCUUGUUGGGUAGGUUGCAAGAGUCACAUCAGGUUUCGCUACUACCCUUUGAUUUUGAGUCUGUGGUAGCUCACAUGUUUCGCUAACAGAGGCAAAUCUCAACUCAGCUGGUGGGAUAAAGCAAUCCAUUGAUAGUCCUGGGACGUUAAAUGCCACUUCCUCGAUAGCCCACGCUUCUUCCAUUCUCGUCCUGGUGUGACUCAUUGCUGUGUCUCCGAACCUGAAGAGGGUCACCACUGAACGACCUGAAUGGGCAAUCAUAACUCCAUCCACGGGUCUGUAAUCAUCUAGGAAGGAGUUGAUCGUGGUCUCCCAGUAAACAGCAUCACCGCCAUUGUUCUGGAUUCGGGUCAAGUGGGAAUCUUCCAAGUGAACAAGGAGACCUGUCUUCUGGCUGAAGUAACCAAACAGGACAUGCCUUAUUAUCUCAGCUGGUCCUUCACUUCUAGCCUUGAGAGUUGCAGGAUCUGCACAUAUCUUAAGGAUGAAACAGUCAUCGUCAUUGAUCUUCUUCUCACCAGUGCACCUUGCAUUAAUGAACAUACUUGCAGUCGUUCUCGGGUCAAGACCCUGUGCCAAAAGAAGAAAAGCCAAAAUGCAGUAGUAAACCAUAAGCAACAACGUUGAGCUUUUGCAACCAGCAUGAACCUUACUUCCUCCAAGUGCUAGUUCCACAUACCACAUGUCAGGGUUCAUCUGCCACAGCACAAAUCCACCAGACUCUGCAGUUUUGGAAGAACCCCUAUUCUUUAUCACUUUGUUGGCUGUCUCGAAUUCCGAAGCUAUCAUCUUCACUUUUCCCAUUGCAUAUGCAUUGUGGAUGGAACCUUGAAGCCGAUGCCCCCCUGAGGCAGCGGUAUACUGCUGCAAUAUAUAUUGAGCAGACGAGGUUUCCUGCAAUUACACACGAGCAAAAGUCACACCAUAACCUCACUCAGAGAGAAGAGACAUCUACACAGGAUCAGCGAACAUCUAUUCGCUGGGCCAUUCCUUCCAGAAAGAUAGAUACAAAAUGAUUUCAGCUAUACAAAAUUAUUGUUUAUAAGAUGGCCAAUUACAGCUAGAUACACAAUUUUCCUCGUCAACACAAACAAACUACCAAUUAACCAGCAGCCAUGGUUAUAAUCAAGCUGGACGACAAACAAGCAGAAAGCGAACCAUCAGAGAAACGUCAACAAGCAUUAGAUAGAAGUAGAAGAAACAAAAUGCGUCAUUAACAAAAAUAUAUAACUUGCCAAGAAUUACCAAAUUUUAACCUAAUGGCAAAGGCGAACAGAAAUAGAAAACACAGACAAGACAAGUAGAAAUAUUGUGGGUGGGUCGCUCAACACUGUGUCUCAGCCAACAAAAGUCAAGAGAAAUGAAAUGGAAGCAAAAGUAAAGGCGCAAAUUGAGGCAAAGUUUGACCAAUCAAGUCAUCGCAGGUCGAGAAAUGGAGAAAAAAUUUGGAAAAAAAACAAUAGCAGUGGAAGAAAGAAGACUAACGAUUGGAGUAUCUUUUAUGCUUAGGUGAGGCAAUGUCUCCGAACUGCUGACGUGGACAGGAGCUAAUGGCGCACCCAGCACUCCAAGCAGAAGCCUCAGAUCGGACCUCUUGCAACCGUUGUCCGUUGAAGAGGUGGACGGAGCUCUACCCAGCGGGCCUUUCAUCCAGUGUCCCCACCGCCCAUCCAUCCUGCUGGAAUCUCCAACGUCGUCUUGAUCCGGACCUUCCUUCAAAGGAGAAAGCACCUCCGCGGGUCUCAGACUUCCCGAUCUAGCGACGAUAAGUGGCUCCGGGUGGGAGAAGCGGUGGCUGUGUCCCUUCCUCCGCCGUAACAAACUCGACAUUGGCGACGCGCUCCUCGCCGGGCUCUUUGCACGCGACCUGCUCGGAGAAAGUCCUCUGACGACUUCCCCUUUCAACGCCGAGAAGAAACCUUGCUUUCGGUCCAUUUUCUUCACAGUUUAGAAGAGAAGGAAAGCUGGUGUUGGAAGUGGAGAGCAAAUGAAUGCGAAGUGUGCUUGAGCAGAAAACAUAGCUAAUUGAGAAGCUAGCGAGUAAAGCAUGAGAGAGAGUGACAGUGCGUAUUAAUUAAUUAAUUAAAUAAUUGUUUUCAAUGAUUCCAAAACGUCUACAUUUAUGAAUUGUGAUGAGAAACAAAGACAAGGAGCCGAAAACAGAACAAUCUAAUCAUGAACGCUGAUUUUUGGGCCAAAUCAUGAAUUGGUAUUGGGCCAUAAGUCAGGCCCAACUCUUUUUAAUGUGACCGGCAAUUAACAAACCAAUGGAUGAAUACUUGUUGAUCCAUCCAUCAAUUGGUUCAACCGUUUAGAAAAUUAAUGAGGGGUUCCCGAUAUACAUUUAUGGGUCCGGACUUCAUUCGAUAAGAGUGAUAAUCCUCCUUACAUAUCGUUUGACAGAUUGAUUAUUUGUUAGCAACAAAUUUAAUAAUAUAAGUAAACUUUUUUAUAAAGAAAAUAUUGAACGGAACUAAAGCUCAACAACAUAAUAUUUAAGAUACAUAGAAAAGUCAGCUCUAAACGAAAUAAUUAAUUAAUAACUUAAUAUUCAAGGUUUGUAUGUUACUAUUACAUAUAAUAAUUCAAUGUAUACUUCCUACAAUGAAUAUAUGCCUUAGACAAAAUUUGAUAUGCUAGAAAUAUUGUAGAAGACAUUUUUUUUAUUCAAAUUAUAAGAUUUUAUUGUUGUUUUAAACGAAAUGUAUGCUUAUAAUUCUAUUCAGUUAUAUGUUAAGAGUAUUUUUGUGAGCUGUGAAGUCUAAAGUUUGAUCAAAACCCUAAUUAUAAUUGUAUUAAAUUUUGGAUAGAUUUGUUAUUUUAAAUUAAUAUAUAAGCAUAUAUAAUCAAACCCCGAUGGAGAUGGUAAUCCAAAUUCUUGUCAAUUUGCAGGGUGAGUGUUCAAUUCCACCCAACCAUAGUUACUUGUCCACUGAUGUAAUUUCUAUAUUCAAAAAAUAUUGUAGAACGUAUUUCUUAAACCUAACACACAACUCUUAGAUGUUUUCAUUUGGCUGGAAGAUGUGUACUUUGCAACAAUCAGAGUCAGUCCAUUGACCAUCUGUUCCUUAGAUGUGAGUUUUCAAGCUUACUUUGAAGUCGUCUCAGUUCAGCACUUUCCGUCCUAAUCCCGUUUCACAAUGAGGUCUACGAUUUCAUUCUGGCAUGGAAAGAUAUGAACUGUACUUCCAAGUUCAAUGAUGGCAUGAAGGUGUUGCCACGCGCUUUCUUUUGGUGUGUAUGGUUGGAGCGUAAUCAUCGCAUUUUUAGAGAAGAAUUCAGAUCACCGAUUCAGAUUUUGCAUACGAUAUGCUAUAUGAUUGGUAUGUGGAUUGGCAUUUUUUCGAGCACGAUGCUCUCAGAUUGGCAUCAACUGGUGUUUGAUAACGGCUAAGUUUUCUGGGUUGGAAGUAGUAUUGGGUCUGCAGUUUUGUCUACUGCAUUUUGGGGAGUUGAUUUCUCUGUUUUUUGUUAGUGUUUUGAUCCUUGCUGCUUCUUUCUGUGGUGUUUGGUCUUUGGUCGCAGGAGAUUGUUUGUUUGUUUUGCAGUGUUGUUUGCUGCUGCUGUUUCUUCGGAUUGAUGCAAUUUUUGGUUCUCUGCAGCUCUUCCUAUUUUGCUUUUUCCUUGUUAAUUCAUUUGGUUUUGUAAGCUGCCUCAUGCUUGCUUGUAUAUUUUGAGAUAGUGGUGGGUUCAAAUUCAGUCCAAUGUUCCUUUUUAGUACUGGAGAAGCCCACUUUCCUCACCUUUCAGUCUUUCUUCAUCCACCUACCUUUCAUUCCUCUCUCUCUCUCUCUGCUCCCACUCUAUAAAUAUAUCAAGUUUACAACAAACGAUCAAACAUACAUAGAGUUCCUUUGUUCUACCAAUUACCCAUCUGAGCAAUGAAGGCAACACUUCUGAUCAUCUCCCUUCUUCUCAUCACAUCCUCAUCUGUUACUUCUGCUGCUUCUGGUACCUAUACUACUGUUUCACUUUUGAAUUAUCAUAUAUAUUUAGCUGGCUUUUCUCCGGUCUAUAUCAUUACAUGUUAAAAAUUCGUAGGUGAGCCGUCGUGGUGUGAUUCGAAGUGCGGAGUAAGGUGCUCGAAAGCAGGGGUGCAAGAUAGAUGCCUAAAGUACUGUGGAAUUUGCUGUGAAAAAUGUAACUGCGUUCCUUCUGGGACUUAUGGCAACAAGGAUGAGUGUCCUUGCUACAGAGACUUGAACAACUCCAAGGGCAAACCCAAGUGCCCUUAGGCCUUAACUUUCCAUUUAUUCUUUCUUAAUCACUUAGCUUGCCUGCUGUGUUACGAUAUCAUUAACUGGCCCUGCAUGCGCGCGCGCUUACUAUAUAAAAUAAUGUUUAUCGUCAUUUGCCAUCAAAUAUAUAAUUAAUUUGUGUUGCUUCGGGGAAUGGCUAGCUAGUUGUACAAAUGAUCAUGUGAGAUGUGCAGGUGGGGCGUACGAUGUUUACUUACUAACUAGACGGCAAAUUCUAUUUUUGCCUUUGUGGAACUGGAAAAUGUGGUCUCUAUGCACGUUUCUGCCCUAUAUCGUUUCAAUUUUAUCGUAUCUCAAAGAACAUGCAUGUUCUGAUUUUGUAUCGUUUUAAUUUUAUCGUCUCUGAAGAAAAAUGCAUGUUUUCGCUCUGUGUCGUUCCAUUUUUAUCAUCUUUGAAGGAACAUGCAUGUUCCCGCUUUGAUUAACAUAACAGUCGUAAGGAAGACCUUGCUUGCGGUUGAACAGUGGUUGACUUGUGCAGAUGUUCUUAAUCUAAUUAAUUUCUAGAUAAUUACACAAAACAAAUGAGAUUUUGAAAAAAAUAAGAAAACGCAUCACUAAAAUCUCGAUAGAAUCCUAAAAAUCAUGAAAUCAUCUCACCUCUCGUUUCUGUCUUUGCAACCAAAAAAAAAUCUCGUCUUCAACGUAACCGACGCAGAAAACCAGAGCAGCCGACGGCGACGAGACUUCCUUCCUCAAAGACUCUCGCCGCAGGCCGCCCAUUCUACGAUAGAAACAAAUAAAUCUUGCUCGUUCCCGUUCUUUUAUUCUUAGUUUUCCUUAGUUUCCCUAGCGACAGUCCUUUUUUCUUAGUUUUUAUUUUCCUCCUGAUUAGCAUUCACUGUCAAGUAUGAUGCCAAGACCCUUCAAGACCCACCGUUCCAGAAAACUACUACCUUCAACGAUCGGAUAGGAGGCUGCAACAACAUGCAUAGCACAGUCACAACGCAAGAGUUAAGUUUUGUUGAUAAUCGGUAGCUGUUUUCAAAUUUCGUAACCUGUCUCCAUUGAUUGGUCUUACUCGUUUCAGUGAUUGCUUUGUACAAUCUGAUCCAUGUCACAGAUUUUGUAUGAUUUGAUCAAAUGUAUUUUGGAUUAAUGAUAGGAACAAAGUAUAUGAAUCUUUGUUUUUUGGCUGAGAGUUACAGUUUGUGCUUGGCAAUUGAAAAGGGGAAAUUGGUAAAUUAGUAUUUGUGCAAUUUUUUUUAUGUAAUAAUAUGUAAAUUUGUUAAAAUUAUACGGUAGGUUUUAAGGCUAGAGUGACACGAGAAAAUCUUUCCGACAAAAAUGAGUGAAUAAUUAAAUAGAGACAAUGUACCUAAAGAUGAAAGUAUGAAAGUAAAAUAAUAUGUUCCUGAACAGUAAUACUUUAACAAUUAAUAAAAAUAAAAUUAUGGAUAAAAAUUUUUACAUAUUAAUAAUAAGGUAUAACUUCUACUCACCAAAUAAAGUAGGNNNNNNNNNNNNNNNNNNNNNNNNNNNNNNNNNNNNNNNNNNNNNNNNNNNNNNNNNNNNNNNNNNNNNNNNNAAAUACUAAUGUAAACCAUCAAAUAAUCACCAAAAUAUAUCUAACCGCUUCAAAAUAUCAUCACGGUAAGGACAAAAAAAGAGUGUCGUCACUUCAAAUUUUGGAUAAAAAAACAUGAUAGUCAUAUGUCCGUCCAAGUGUCCACGGAAGCCCAAUACGAAGAGGUGUCAAAAAAAAUAAAGAGGUGAAACAAAGUAUUAAUUUUUAUUUAUAACAACUUGUGUCCUAAAACUCCNNNNNNNNNNNNNNNNNNNNNNNNNNNNNNNNNNNNNNNNNNNNNNNNNNNNNNNNNNNNNNNNNNNNNNNAAAAUAAAUAAUAUAAUAUAGGUGUUUAUAUGUUGGAUGUGGCUAAAUUCGAACUCGGUACGUCCAAAUCUCCAAUCACACAACACAACCAACUGUGAUACUCCAUGUGGACUAGUUGUUAUUAAUGAUUGAAAAGUACAAAUUGCUUCGGUGAUAUAACUGUGUGUCUAAUUGAUCCGGAGGUCCAUAGUUCGAAUCCAGCACAUCCCACACAAUGAGUAUCUACGUAGUAUUUAUAAUUUCCUUCUCUUAAAAGGGCAUAUUCACCUCGUCUAUCUAUUAUUUAAAAAACAAAUUGAAACGUUAAGGGGUCUUCGGAAUUAUGUAUCGUAUGGAUGAUAUAUUUGGACCAAUGACUCUUUUUGAAUUCAUAAAUAUUUGGUUUAAAAUAACUCAUUUCACAUUUAAAAUAAAAUUAUGGUAUUACGGAACUAUAAUAGGUAUCUAAAAUACUGCGGCAUUUUAUAUUAUUUAGAUUUCCCGUUUACAAAAUACCACAAACAAGAUAAUUUUCACCCCAUAAAUUUGGCACCUCGUACAUACUUUACAAAUACCAUAUUUUCAAAUAACACAUCUGACGCGAGGGGAAGAAAAACGAGUUUCAUAAUGGUUUGUUGUAUUACCAAGUUAAGUUUGCCUGCCUACAAAUGAUACAAUAAUAAAGAGUGUUUGUCACUCACUCUUAGUCAGUCAGUGAGUCAGACUAGUUCCUAUAUUCAAAUCUCAAAACUUUUCUAUAUUAUACAAACAGCUUGACGAUAUAUCUGUAUAUUGUCCUCCACACCCAAAAUUCACAGCUUCAUAUCUUUUAGUAUGCGUGGGACUUACCCUGGGUGAAAUCUUUCACAACGGCUGAAGUUCUUGCUCCCCAACCAUGCCACCCACUGGUUCAUAUGUACCUAAACUUUGCUGUCUUCGCCUCCACACCAACCACACACCAGCACUCGAUAAUCCAACUACUAUCGUUGCCAAUACCCCAAUUGCCACUCCCACCCAAUGUUGCUCCCACCAUGACCUAAUAUCAUCAUCAAUCAUAUUUAUCACAUCACCUCUCAACAUCAGUAUCUUAUUUAAUAGGGAAAAAGAGAAUGUAGUAACAUACGACUUUCUUUGAGGUUCAGUUCUCCACUCCACCAGCUGAUAGCUUCCAUAUCUCUUUGGAAAUUGAAAUUUAUGCUCCUUUAAUCGAACAAGAAUACUCUAAUAAACCAAAAAAAACCAAAGGCCUCUUAGUCGGAAUCGAAUGUCUGAUAAUCAAUAACUCACAAGUUGCCUUCAAUCUGUAUGUAUUCGGGUGGUUAUGGUUACCAUUGCUGUGCUAUUAGAAAUGUAUUCUUUUGAUGAAGCAGGAUAUAUCGCCCACUUCACCUCGUAUUCUUUCCCUUUUGGAGUUGCAUUCAGCAUGUGCACCUGAGAAUCAAUGCAUAUCCAUCUUCAGUGAAAUGAAAUCGUGAAUUGAGCAUUUGAAUAGUCAAGCAAAUGUCAAGGAUAUGUAUUUCAGCUAAAUGGAGUUUCUAGGUUAGUAUCAGAUUGCGUGGCCCUUUGAGAUUUCAGACGAUUAACUUCCAAAUAUGAGAAAAAUACCAACCACAUUCACAGGGUUUCCAGCAACUUCAACAUAGAAGAAGAAAAGUAGUAUAUCAUACCUGUAAAUGGUCCACUUCCAGCUCAUGAGCAAUGACAUCCGCCACUUCUGUGAGGUUGGGCUUCACGGAAGUGUCGUUGACCAAAAUCAACAUAUCAAAUGUUAUAAUUGCAAUUCUGAAUUCACCUACGCAAUGAUGAAAAAUAAGAUUAGCUAAUUAGGCCUAAUGAAAACGAUAUGGUUGAAGACAAGUCUCCUUAAUGUAGAUUAACAGAUUUAAUAAGUUAACCGAUGAUAGUAUUUUCCUCACAUAUAGAACAUAACCUGAGAAAAAGACAACGCGUAACUAAUAAAAUGUACCUGGAAAGUAGUUUGAAGGCAGCCCGUUUGGUGAUUGAACAGGAGGCACAUUAUCACUUCUAUUACUAGUAUUGUUAAUGUGUAAAGUGCUAGGUGGUGGAGCAGGAGCUCCAGGACCUUGCAUUCUCUUCCAUAGCUCAGAGCAAUUAGUCUUCCAAAAUCCAAUCUUGUCAUUUUCCCGAUCAUAUGUUACAAGCGUAUUCCGAACUAUGAUUCCUGUGGGAGAUAAUCAACAUUAAGGAGACUUGUCUUCGACCAUAUCGUUCUUGGCUGGGAAUGGUUUAGAAUUGAGACAAAGAAGAAUGAAGUUAACUACCUCCUAAAAGAGUGGUCGGGUCCUUUACAUUCUCGAAAAUCCCAAAGCAAUAUGCACCACUAACUUUUGUAUGCUACAUAAGUGAAGGACUAGUGAGGUAGGAUCAAUCAAACAAAGGCAACAACCAAGGGUAACAAGAUAAUACAGACCCCUUCAGACUUACUCGGAAAAGGUAAUUUUCUGGAAACAAUGUCAAUGCUUGACCAUUGCUGAAUACCAUGUCCACCUUUGGAAACUUUUUUGAUAGUUCAGAGACGUCCCUAGAUAACAUUUCAAGCAAACAAAAGCACGGGACGGACUUAGUGUCAACUAUAGGCAGAAAGAUGAAAACACCAAGAUCCAUACUCAUAGAGCAGGUAGAUAGUGAGCAGAUCGGGGGGUUGUUUGGUUUUCUUGUUUUGGUGAGGGUUAAGAGUUUUUUCUCUAUUUUCUCCUCUUUAGUCUUGUAACGUUGUAUUCCUUCUCUCUUGUUGAGAGUCUAAUUCUUUCGAAUGAAACAUAAUGUAUAAAAAAAUGACAUUCAUAAAAGAAUAAGUUAUACCUUCCAGCGCCAGAAAAACAAAUAUCAUUGUAAUUCGGAUCAGGGCCAUGAAUCUGUCUGAGAGAACUAAUUUCCUUCAUUAUCUGCAUUUCAGCAACACAAAACAAAAAGAACAAAAUGAAUCCUAACUGCUUGUUGAUGAAUCAGGAGCACCAUACAAUUCCUUUAAGCAAUUGCACCGGAUGAAUAACUACCUUCCAGUUAAACUGAGGCAUAUAAAUCCGAGGAAAUAGGUGUUGCUCAGAUACUGGGUAACUAGAGGGGGCAAGUUAAGCAAAAGCAGUUCAGUUAUGCUACAAGAAACUACCAACAAUAAUAGAUGAUAAUUCAUCAACAGCAGAAAUUUGAUAAACAUGAACUAUAUAGGUGGGUGCUUGAAAAGUUCCAAACUGAUAUUGGAAGUCCCAAAACAAAUGACAACUGCAUGAACUUACAGACUAAACAUAAAUUCUAACCAGGGAAUACAUAGAGCACCAACCGAUGAACACAACACUGACAUAUAUUCAGCUGCAAAACAACUGCUGCAGCUAAGCAGUGCAUAGAAAAUAAUGCAAGCGGAUAGCAAAACACUAGAGCAACCAUUCGCGGUAUUAUAUAACUACAAAAGUAUAGUUAAUCCAAUGGAAUGGUUUCCAGUACAUGCUCAUUCACCCAAGACAAAUUUUCAUUAGAGCAAACAAUGGAAAUCGCUAGUCAAUUGAAAAAUGAAAAGAGAAUUUAACAAAUAGGCCAACAGAAAUUGCUUACAGCAUCCUUGAGUGGGACGAAUGCUUCUUCAGGAAGGUAAGCAUACGUGGUUCCACUGUCCAAAACUGUCCCAUGCCGGCCAUCAAAGACUUUAGGAUUUAAUUUCAAUGACUUCCCAGCCACCCGCAGGCCCUUCAGCUCAAUAUUGUAAUAUGGACUGUGACAACGCAGAAAUUGUAGUAAAUGUAUGAAACGCACUAAAAUGCUAAUCUAAGAAAAAUCCACAACUGACAUAGCUCUUAAGAGGGCACCGUACCUGCGGUAAGGAUCUGAGUGUGUAAACACCAUGUCAACAGGAGGAGAGAUCCCCCCAAGAACCAUUGCACCACCACCAACGUCCAUCCCACCAUAGCACAAAGAAAACGAAUCACUUAUGACUUUCUUCUCAACUAGUUGAUCCACGAUACUAAGCCGACCACGACCAAGGCCAAUUAUGCCAUCGGCCCUCUGACUGUACAGAUCACCAGUUUCCCUAUUUUCGCAGCCAAACACUGCCCUUUGAGGGUUGAGCUGACUUUCAUUCCCAAAGGAAAUGACGUCUUCAGCAAGCACACCGCUGCUGGAACUCAGCUCUGCAUAUCGUCUCUCAUAAGUGCAUUGCUUUCCUUCGUCAUCACAGUUACAACUGGGGUUACACGUUACAGCCUGGUAUGUGCUAGACAACUCUGGUUGGAACUUUGGAUCCUGGAUGACAAAAUUACUUGCUCUGAAUGAAACAAAUUCAGCCUACUAUUCUGCUUACCCGGAAAUACAGCAUCUCUACAUUCCAGAUCAAAUAAUUGCUACUCGCAAAAUCAGUUAAGAAUCUAUACCUCGUAUCACUUACUAGAACUAAAACUAACUCUAAGACAUCUUCAACUGCAAAGGGAAUCAAGGCGCUCAGAAUAGAACUGCGAAGAGAGCGGAUAAGAGCAAACCUGGUGCUUGCCGCAAUGUUCGCAGCUCGAGCAUGGAACAUAGGUUACUGUACUCCCGGUAUCCACGAUAAGAGCGAAUUCCUGCGGAGGUGACCCUAUAUACAGCCUAGUCGUGUAGUAACUGCAGAACACAGAAGUGGAGGUUUUCAGGUCGAGAAUUAACAAAGUACACCGCGGGGAUUCAAUCGGAAGAUCGGGAAGUUAGUUGAGAGUAACAGCCAGAAGAGUCUCUACUAACCCGUUGGUGAGGAGAUCGUCAUAGAGACGCAUGCGAGCGUUUGGCAGGAGGUCUGAAUUCUGUAGAUGACGUCGGUUAUAGUCAGAUCUCUGGUGAGCAGAUACAUUAGGGAUGGAGAGGUGGAGAGGAAUAAUCAUCGGCGUCCGGAGACUAUCGAUAUCUAAGGUCGCAGAUACGACGCAGUAGAAAUUGAAUGUGAUCAGGACAAAUAGGGAUAGGCAAGACCAUGGUCGAGCCAUUGAGCGCUGUGGAAGAAGCCAGUCAGCCGGUUAAUAGUUUCGAGACGGCGGAGGAAAGAAAGUUCUGCUCCGUCGCCUCCGGCGGAUAGAGUACAGAAAUGGUUGGAGAUGUAGGCCGCUCCGACCAGAAGUUUGAGUUUUUGGAGUUUGUAUCGGCAAAAUUCUCAGUCGCUUUAACGAAUGGGGAGCGAACACGUAGCUUUAGAUUUGUUGGCCGGGAAGAGAUGAGUCAACGCAACUGAAUGGAGAAACUCGACGAGAGAGUGCCCAAAAAAUAAUGGGGUGAGAGAGGCUCGAACUCUCGACCUCAGGAUCACUCAAAUUAGCUAUGAGACCUACGCGCUAACCAACUGCGCCACCACCCCUUUAGUGGUCCAACUUACUUCAAUAGGUAAUUAACUCAAAACAAGCUAACCCCAACCGAUAACAAAAUAUGAUAUUUUAGCCUUGUAACAAAUUGCAAUUUACCGACUCUAAACCAGAGAAAAAUUAAAAUGUUGCCGACUCUAAACCAGAGAAAAAUUAUUUAGUCUUAUAAUUUUAUGUGUACUUCUUAUGAAAUUUAACUUUUCAAGCAUUGAACUUAUGUUUUGGACUUGAAUUCUUUUAUAUUUGGUCAUGAUAAAUUUCAAACAAUAUCUAACACAAAAAAAUUUAUAACUGUAAUCCAUAUUUUUUAUCACUAUCUUUGGUUAAUUAUUGAUACUGCAAUUUACAUAAAUUGAUUAAUUAUUUUUUUAUAGAUGAUGUAAUCACCGUCAGUUUAUCUUUACAUAUAAAUAUCCACUAGUAUCGUCAAUCAUUAGUACUUCAAACAAUUAAAACCAUUCAUCUUAUUUAGAUAAUUUAAUGAUCCAUCACUUCAACUUUAUUCAAAAAUGUUCACUAGCGUACAUAAUUAUUGGUGUUUCAAACAACUUAAACCACUCAUCUUUUAUCGACUACGAACUCAUUCAUCUACAAAAGUAUACUUCUACAAUAUUCACCCAUGCAAGUUCCAUUGGACGUGCACAGCACGCUUGCGGAGCCAGUUUGGCAGAGCGUGUUGCACACCAACGAGCCCAAUUUUUCUUACGUAAGCCACUCUUCUUAAUAGCAAGCUUAUUACAAAGAGGAUACUCACCCUAGGAGGAGCGAACCGGCCCGGGCUGAGCGAGCAGCCUAGUCAGCCUUUUUGUUGCCCGUACGGGAGAUAAAAGACAGAGUAAUAGUUGGGAAAGAAAGGAGAAUUGUGAAAAUGCUACCUAAGAGUCUGUAGCACCUUCAAGGCCAGCGAUGCUUGGGUCCAUGGAUUGCAGAGACGAGCUCUUUAUAGUCCUAAAGAAUGGGGGCAGCCGGAAGUGAAGCAGAGGCGAAGGUAGCAGCUUCAAGGAUUGCACGAGCUUCCUAAAUGAUAGAAGAAGAGCAGUCAAAGGUCCCAACCUGUUCAUACGUUAUGUAUCCUUCUGUAUCAUAAAUAAAAAUACUAUAGGCUGCCUUUGGGAGUCGUUAAGGAACGACCCAUCGCAGUGUAUCACCGGGGCGGCAAUACGUGGCAGUUGACAGGGUAAUAAAAUGGGGUGAGUGGGUGGGCCGGCCGGCGUGAUGAGGGUGAAUCGAGGGGUUGCCUAGGGGAGUAGUCGGGGUCAUCCAGGAUUCGGUGUCACUAUCGAUGCCACAGAUAGUACAAUCUCAGGAAGGAGACGUGUUGUGGAAAAUGAAGUCGUUGUGUGCCUUCCAGAUGUUCCAACAGGCGGCCGAUGUCAUGGUGAUGGAGAGUGCGCCUGGCGAACCGUCUAAACCUGCAAACUACGUGAGGAGGUUCGUCCUGGGAGUUCCCUGGAGGGACCUUGCAUGACGGAGCAAUGUGAGAACAGUGAGUAUACGUAAUAGAGUUUGAGCUCAACGAGAAUGAGACAAAUUUGAACUCUAGGAGAAGGAGAGAGAAUUGUAUAAAAAAAAUUGAGAUGUAUUUAAUUAAUGACUUUGUAACGGCCAACGAUAUCACAUGUUUCCUGUUGAUACAACGAUGAAUUAUCAAUCGACGAGGCCUCACUGCAUGAAACAUUAAAUGCUUAUGAACACUAGGCCUUGCUGGCAUGAAAUACACAUUUACCCGCAUCACAUCUAGCGGAUGGCAACGUUAGGGAGCCGAUCACAGCUCUUCGAGACCACUUUCAGGAUUGCUUUGUUGGUCAUGCUACUUCGGGGGCCGUCAACCCAGUUUGUUGGUCCCUGUUAUUUUGGAGUUCAACAACUUUCAUAACUAGUUGUAGAAUCAUCAAAUUGUGUAUAAGGUCGCUAUAUUAUAUAUGGUUUCAUAUACUCAAUUCUGGUUUCUCGAUUAGUAAAUUGAAAUUCCAACUGCUGAAACAACCCAUUUGUCUCUUCUCCUCCUAUCUCCUUUUUUCAUCUUUGAGAAGGUGACAGAGAAAUCAAAAUGACUACAAGGUUUACUACACAUACAAUAUUAUGCUCAAUUACCUGAUCUGAUCUGAUGUGGGUAGUCUCUACAACUGAUAUACUCUAACAACAGAAACCUAAACCCAAUUCCACAAACAAACACACAAUUUUUGACUCUUAAGGAACCAACCAACCAUGCUAAGAUGAAUGAACAAGACAAGUGUUUCGUUCCUUCAAAACAACAAUCCUAGCAACAUCCUUUUUCCCUUCCACUGUUCAUGGCCUACAUGUAUGGCCAUUGCCUCUUUCCAAACCAAGCAGAGAGCACCUUCUUUCCAUAGAUGUUGCUCCUCAUCAUCGGAGCGUUCCUUUCAACCAGAUCCACCAGGGCCGACCGCACCAUUGGAUUCCGACCCGACUGAAAUUAAACAUCAUUGAUUAUCAAGCAUAACCAUGACAUGAAUAAUUAAUUGUUUGUUUGAAAGCAGCUGUAGUGGAGUUAACCUGAGAAAUGCGGAGUGCUGUUUGGAUGACAAAGUUACCAAAGGGAUCAACAAGCAUCAAAGAAGACUUGGGACUACUAAGCAACUCCAUCAUAACUUGUGUAGAUUGCUCUUCUGUUGUCUCAGUCAAGCACUUCUCCACCACAUUACUACCGUACUUGUUGCACGAGAGAUUCACCAAGUCCCCUUGAAGUUGUGCGAGAAGAGCUGCGUUGAUUUUCUCAACCUUCAACCCCACUAUGUUCUGUACUACGUAGUUGCUAUUGAAAAACAACCAGAUAAUGAUCCACUGUUUCAGUACCAUAACACAGCCAAGCUGAGAAAAAUGAUUGGGGUGUAUUCAGGGAAACAAACCCGUAGCAGUCUUGCGACAAGUGCAGUGCAUUCCCAAUGAUCUCAGAGACAAGGCGAUCUCUGGUCUCUCCUCGAGAGUAUUCAACACAGAUCUGAAGCACACAGCAUCCACUUUUGUCUGUGGCAAUCUCAAAGCAGUUGUCUGCCACCAUGUUCAGAAGGUACUACCAACAAACCAACCAACCAACAAGUGGUUAGAUAUACCCGAUCAUAUGAGAAACAAAGAACCAGAAUCUGAUAAAAACCUUGUUAUCGUCAUGGGAGAAACUCUUCAAGCAAUGCUGGAUAACAUGAUGGCCGUUCAUGUCCUUAGUCAAUGAAAGAGCAGCUCGGCUAAGACUUGGCAUUAUAAUAGAGACUUGAUGUGAAGUAGUGACAUGAUCCAACAACUUCUGUAUAGCACGAGUCCUUCAUAAAACCCCAUACCACAAACAGACAAAUAAACAGAAUAAAAUAAGCACCUUUUCCUCUGUAUACUGUAGAGUGUAGACACCCACCACCAGAAAUUUUUAAUCAUAAUAAUAAUAAUAAUUAACAUGAUUUGCUUUUUCAUAAGCAAAGCAGAACAAGAAGAGUAAAAUUUUAAUAAACACAUACCCAUGAGGGUUGAGACAAAUUCUGAGGAGCUGACUUUCAUUCUUGGUCAAUAUUCUGAGGAUUGCAGUCCUCUGUUCAUCAGAACAGACAUCGAGGAGCUUCUGUACGACGUAGUUGCCGAACUGGUCCAGCAUGAGCUGACCCACAUGAUCUUUCAACUCCAAGAAGACAUGCUCAAUUUCCUCAACUUUCUUGGUCCCAAUCACCCUUUGCAAGCUCCUACAUCCAUGUUGAUCCUGAGCCAUUGAAAGAAUCUGUCCCUUGAAGGAAUCCAGAGAGUUUGACGCCUCGUAUAUAGAAUCAGACCUCCUACUAACGUUGAGAUUAUUAUUAUUAUUGGUGGAAGUAGGAGGAUGAUUACUAUUAGAAGAGCGCCUGCUGUUGGGAAAAUUGGAAGAAGACCUUCUUGGAUUGGCGCUGCUUCUCGCCUGAGAAUCCGACGAAAUCCUAUUGAGGGUCGGUACAGGGUCCUUGUAAGAGAAGUUUCCGUCCCAUAACCUUGGAUCAGCUUCGGCACGCAAGGCAAGCAGACGACGAAGAUAGUAGUCACCAACGCCGCCGAAGCCGCCUCCGGUGGAGGGAGCUGCAUUGGUCUGAUAAUCACGAGCCCUCGAACCCUGAUUGAAAAUCCGAUGAUCAUCGUAAUUGGGGAACCAGCCAACAGAAGAGUGAUUACCUGGCGGGCCAGGAAGAAAUCCUCCGCUGCCCUCGAUGGCGGCCUUAUUCGCGACGAACCCAUUCAAGCCACGGCGGUCCGAGAGGUUGAGGGAAUAAAACAAAGAUUCAAGAGACUCCUGCUGCGGGUGGUGAUUAUUGUAGGGGAAAUCGGCGGCGAGGGACGGGAGGGGAUAGGGUUGAUCAGU